RNAcentral lists this ribosomal RNA (492 nucleotides) under uncultured bacterium. RNAcentral describes it as "partial 16S ribosomal RNA". It matches the Rfam family "Bacterial small subunit ribosomal RNA", at positions 29 to 507 of the family's 1533-position model. The record is from RNAcentral.
AGUGAACGCUGGCGGUAGGCCUAACACAUGCAAGUCGAACGGCAGCACAGUAAGCGCUUGCUCUUACGGGUGGCGAGUGGCGGACGGGUGAGGAAUACAUCGGCAUCUACUUUUUCGUGGGGGAUAACGUAGGGAAACAUACGCUAAUACCGCAUACGUCCUACGGGUGAAAGCAGGAGAUCUUCGGACCUUGCGCGAUUGAAUGAGCCGAUGUCGGAUUAGCUAGUUGGCGGGGUAAAGGCCCACCAAGGCGACGAUCCGUAGCUGGUCUGAGAGGAUGAUCAGCCACACUGGAACUGAGACACGGUCCAGACUCCUACGGGAGGCAGCAGUGGGGAAUAUUGGACAAUGGGCGCAAGCCUGAUCCAGCCAUACCGCGUGGGUGAAGAAGGCCUUCGGGUUGUAAAGCCCUUUUGUUGGGAAAGAAAAGCAGCAGGUUAAUACCCCGCUGUUCUGACGGUACCCAAAGAAUAAGCACCGGCUAACUUCGUG